CAUUAAAACCUGGGACACCCUGUGUAUACAUAUAUAUAUAAUAUAUAUGUAUAUAUAUUUUAGACCUUAAUUAGGAGACUGACUGAGAGACACGGGAACGGGGUACUCGUAUCGAAGCCCGGCGCCGGGAUACGUGAAACCAGUCGUCGAAUCCUCGAUCCGAAUGUUGUUCCAUGCCGACGCAACAAUUGCAAUGAUUCUGUUGAAGGGCAAGUGUCGGUAUUGCCGCGGCCGGCCCAAAUACCGCGGCGUUUCAUAAAAGCAAUAAAACGUGUGAUUUCACGGUGUGCAAUCUUCUGGAAAUGAAUCUCACGAUUUUUCACGCGUCUAACAUCGAUUAUUUGUGACAUACAAGCAACAAGUAAUCGCAGUUUUAAUUGAUUUAUCGACUUUCUACGAAGCUGCGAAUCUUUCGGCACGAAAGCUCGAAGAACGCUCGAAGUAUCGAAGCUCGAACUUCGAAGUGUCGACGUCCUUUCAAGCAACAGAGAUCAUUUCAUUUACUUUAGCUCGCGGCGAGCAUCAAAUUCGACGCGCGGUAAUCGGGACGUCCGCGGUAUUCGGCUCGCAGUAAUAGGUACCGCGGCGAUGCGCGCACGCGUAUGGUUUUUUCACGCUUCUCGACGAAGCUCGCGCUUUCAGAGACCCGAUAUUUUACCAAAAACUAAACGUUCCAGUUGAAGGACAAUAGGCACAGCUCGAAUUAAUCGGCGCGAAAGGUCCCAUUUUCCCUGCGAAAGUUCGUCUUCGCCGUGGAAAACGCGGCGAUACCCGCACUUCCCCUGUCGCACGAGGGUUGCCGAUGGGCACCCUUCUCGCUGGGUGCUUCGCGGAGGUCGGGGCAACGAGGCCGGCGUUGUUGAUCCGCUCGUUCGUGUACCUCGCGAGGCGGAUUUCAGCGCGGAGGUCCGACAGGUGGACGCGGACGAUGCCGUUCGCCGGGCCUUUCUUCGAUUUCUCCGAGGAAGCCGAGUCGCGUUCGAAUCGGCGCGCGCGCUCGGUUCGAACACGAACGAACGGGUUAACAGGUCGGCGAUAAACGAUCGAUCGUUUAUCGAAAUAUCGCGCAGGGAUUGCAAACGGUGGAAGAUCGUCGCGGCACCGGCGAGCUCUGUCGACACCGUUGUUCCCGGAUCGAGUGAAUUAUUCGCGAGAUCGGCGUCGCGCGCGCGCAGCGAACGUUCUCGCGAAUUACGAUAAUUAAUAUUGCAAAGCGCGAUCCGGCUCCGCGCGAUCCGGGACGAGCCGGACGAACGAUAAUGCGGACAAUACGGCUGAAAGUUUGAUCCCGCGCGGGAAACAGCGCGCGGGAGGCGUUGCAGUUUGAAUGCGGUCGCGCGACCGCUGUCGAAAAAAAGAGAAAAAAGAAACAGAACGAAAGCUGGAAGAAGACGAACGGCACGCGAUCGACGAUCCUGAAGCGUGCGGAACGCGGUCGGACGCGGUCUCUGCGAUAUUGAUUGUCGGCGGAGGACCGCGGCGGAGGAUACGCGAUACCCGGCCGAGCGAGAAAUGUGAUUUUAUUAGACGACGUAUGUAUUUAUCGAGAAAUUUUAUUUAGCGGAUUUCAGGGACGACGGCGUAGAUAAUUGUUAAUACGUACUUGGUGCUCAACAAUCGCGAGAAACGGAACGGGGAGCGGAACAUCCCGUCCACGCUUGUUUGACCCUCUUCUCGCGCACGUUCGUUUUCCAUGCACAAAUAAGAAACGUCGAUGUUCCGGAAACAGCCGGAAACACGCCGCGCGGAAUGAAUUGCGUUGAUCACGCGGCGGAUCUGGUCCCACGCCGAGCUCCACAAUCUUCGUUUUACCGGGACCACAAGCAUGUGUUUUUCGUUGAGACGCGCGUGUGCAUCGAUGAUGUUCGAUCGAUUGUUCGUCGGCGAACGAUCGGCGACGGAAGAAUGAAAUGAAGCAAACGAUGGCCGAAGAGCGAGCGAGAGAGAGAGAGAGAGAGAGAGAGAGACACGAAGUACAAAAAGCGUGAACGCGAAAUUCUUCCGAGAUUAUUAGCCCCGCGUUGCUCCGCGGAGCGAAGGGAGUUGUCUCGCGUGCUCGGUGGAGCACGCGACCUGUCACUCGGUGCAUAAUUAUCACAAUGUAUACAUAUAUAUAUUUGUUAUGAAUAGCGAUUACCAAAGGAAUUAUUUUCCAGCGAGCCUCUUCCCGGCAGGCGCACCAGGAAGACGGCGCUCCCUUCGUUUCUGGGAGGGUCAAAGAAGUGGCGUGAUUGUGCAAAGAAAUGGAAAGAGACGGGCUCUCGAGGCCGGGCAAAAAAGGACUCGACAUCUUCUCUUCUGUAAUAAUGAAUCGCGUUCACGGUCGCGAUUCUCGCGGCGAAUCGUGGAUAGAAAGCGUAGGCCGGUUAAUCGAGUUAGAAGAAAACGCGAGGGGGAUGCACGCGAGCGAGUGGGAAAAUAUAAAAAAAAAUAAAGAAGCAUAAUAAGCGAAUAAAUAAUAUCAGUUCACACGGGAGAACCUACUAUGCAAUGAAUCCAAUAGCAAUAAUUGUAUAAACAAAGAGAGCGGGAGUGAGAGAGAGAGAGAGAUGGAGGGGAGAAAAGAAGAGAAAAAGCGUACGGAAAGAGAAAGAAAGACUUUGAUGAGACGGCGGCUGUAUGAACGGAGUUAGGGGACGAUGAAGAAAAACCUCGCGGAGACGUUGGAAUGACAUCGCACUGCGUAUAUUAUACAAUUAUAUCGUUUUUGUGCGAGGAUAGAGAGCAAGAGAGAGAGAGAGAGAGAGAGUGAGAGAGAGUGAGAGAGUGAGAGAGAAUGAGAGAGUGAGAGAGAGCGAGAGAGGGAUGAAAGAGAGUAAUAACCGAAUGAAAUUGACACCGUUUCUUCGGCUCCGCUAAUCACGCUACACUAUAAAUAAAUGAAUAAAAAUAUAUAUAUAUAUACAUAUUAUAUAUAUAUGAAAAAGUAUAUAUAUAUUAUAUGUCAAGAGAUAUUUAUACUAGUAUUUUAAUAGUUUAGUAUAUAACGCAAGAUAUAAAUAUAUAUGUAUAUAUAUAUAAAUAUUACACGCAUUAUAUAUAUAUUAUAUAUAUAUACAUAUACAGAGAGAAGAAAGAGAAUGAAAGCGAACACGUGUGUACUAUACAAACAAUAAUAAAAAAAAAGGAGAAA
Molecule: non-coding RNA, 3133 nt
Organism: Megalopta genalis
Lineage: Eukaryota; Metazoa; Arthropoda; Insecta; Hymenoptera; Halictidae
Source: RefSeq, a predicted model, not a curated record